Molecule: ribosomal RNA, 1274 nt
Filed under: Mycalesis francisca (lilacine bushbrown)
Lineage: Eukaryota; Metazoa; Arthropoda; Insecta; Lepidoptera; Nymphalidae
Description: partial 16S ribosomal RNA
Source: RNAcentral
GGGGGGAAAAUUAAUAAAAGUUUAAAUAAUAAAAUAAAUUUUAAUAUUAAAAUAAAAUAAUGGGGGUUAGAGUAUUUUUAAUAGAAAAAAUUUAUAAAUUUAAAGUUAAAUAGUAUUGUAAGAGAAAUUUGAAAUAAAAUGAAAAUAAAUUAUUAAAAAAGAAAAUUUAAUUUAUUGUAUCUUGUGUAUCAGAGUUUAUUAAAAAAUUUUAUUAUUUAAUAAAAUCUCGAAUUUAAAAGAGCUAAUUAAUUAUAAAAGUUAAUAUAACAUAAUUAUUUUAAAUAAUUAAUUAGAAAUUAAAUGUUAAUCGUUUUUAAAUAUAUCUAGUUUUUUUAGAAAAAAAUUUAAUUUAAAAUUAAAAUAAUUUUAUAAUUUAAUAAAAAAAAAUUAUAAAAAUUUUAAAUUUAAUAUUUUGAGGGAUAAGCUUUAAAUUAAAAAAUUAUAAUAAAAAUGAUUUAAAUUAAAAUUUUUAAAAUUUAUAUUGUUUAAAAAUUAAAAUUUAUUAUAAAAAACUUUAAUAAAAAUAAAAUUUAAUUAAGAAAAAAUUUAAUUUUUUAUAUAAAAAAAAAUAAUUUUUAAUUAAUUAAAAUUAGUAAUAAUGAUAAAAUUAGUAUAAAUAUAAAUAAUAUAGUAAAUAAAAUAUAAAAUUAAUUUAAAGGAAUUCGGCAAAAUUUAAUGUUCACUUGUUUAUCAAAAACAUGUCUUUUUGAUUAUAAUUUAAAGUCUAAUCUGCCCACUGAUUUAUUAAAGGGCUGCAGUAUUUUGACUGUACAAAGGUAGCAUAAUCAUUAGUUUUUUAAUUGAAAACUUGUAUGAAGGAUUUAAUGAAAUAUUAACUGUCUCUAAAUUAUUAUUAAAAUUUUAUUUUUUAGUUAAAAAGCUAAAAUAAAUUUAAAAGACGAGAAGACCCUAUAGAGUUUUAUAUUUAAUUUUAUUUUAAAAAUAUAUAAAAAUUAAUAUUAAAUAAAAUUAAAUAUUGUAUUGGGGUGAUAGAAAAAUUUAAUUAACUUUUUUUAAAUUAUAUACAUAAAUAAGUGAAUAAAUGAUCCAUUUAUAAUGAUUAUAAGAAAAAAUUACCUUAGGGAUAACAGCGUAAUAUUUUUUUUUAGUACAAAUAAGAAAAAGAGUUUGCGACCUCGAUGUUGGAUUAAGAUAAAAUUUAAAUGCAAAAGUUUAAAAUUUUGAUCUGUUCGAUCAUUAAAAUCUUACAUGAUCUGAGUUCAAACCGGUGUAAGCCAGGUUGGUUUCUAUCUUUAAAAAAUUAAAAUAUUUUA